This 258-nucleotide ribosomal RNA is filed under the name uncultured bacterium. Its description in RNAcentral is "partial 16S ribosomal RNA". It matches the Rfam family "Bacterial small subunit ribosomal RNA", at positions 1234 to 1500 of the family's 1533-position model. The record is from RNAcentral.
CAGGUACANCGGGAAGCCACCUGGCGACAGGGCGCGGAACCCGAAAACCUGUCUCAGUUCGGAUUGGAGUCUGCAACCCGACUCCAUGAAGCUGGAUUCGCUAGUAAUCGCGCAUCAGCCACGGCGCGGUGAAUACGUUCCCGGGCCUUGUACACACCGCCCGUCAAGCCAUGGAAGCCGGGAGUGCCUGAAGUGCGUGACCGCAAGGAGCGUCCUAAGGCAAUACCGGUGACUGGGGCUAAGUCGUAACAAGGUAUC